Molecule: ribosomal RNA, 1979 nt
Filed under: Sutterellaceae bacterium
Lineage: Bacteria; Pseudomonadati; Pseudomonadota; Betaproteobacteria; Burkholderiales; Sutterellaceae
Description: bacterial LSU rRNA
Rfam family: Bacterial large subunit ribosomal RNA
Source: RNAcentral
UAUAGAGUCAAGCGAAUAAGUGCACAUGGUGGAUGCCUUGGCAGUCAUAGGCGAUGAAGGACGUGGUAGCCUGCGAAAAGCUACGGGGAGCUGGCAAACAAGCUUUGAUCCGUAGAUGUCCGAAUGGGGAAACCCACCCUUUUAGGGGUAUCGCACAGUGAAUACAUAGCUGUGCGAGGCGAACCUGGAGAACUGAAACAUCUAAGUACCCAGAGGAAAAGAAAUCAACCGAGAUUCCGAGAGUAGUGGCGAGCGAAAUUGGAACAGCCUGUACGAUUUAGCAUUUGAGUUAACAAAACGGUCUUGAAAGUCCGGCCAUAGAAGGUGAUAGCCCUGUAUGUGAAAACUCGAUUGUGGAACUAGGCGUACGACAAGUAGGGCGGGGCACGAGAAACCCUGUCUGAACAUGGGGGGACCAUCCUCCAAGGCUAAAUACUCAUGACUGACCGAUAGUGAACUAGUACCGUGAGGGAAAGGCGAAAAGAACCCCGGGAGGGGAGUGAAAUAGAUCCUGAAACCGUGUGCAUACAAACAGUCGGAGCGGACUUGUUCCGUGACGGCGUACCUUUUGUAUAAUGGGUCAGCGACUUACAUUCAGUGGCAAGCUUAACCGAGUAGGGAAGGCGUAGCGAAAGCGAGUCCGAAUAGGGCGUUUAGUCGCUGGGUGUAGACCCGAAACCAGAUGAUCUAUCCAUGGCCAGGUUGAAGGUUGGGUAACACCAACUGGAGGACCGAACCCACUAACGUUGAAAAGUUAGGGGAUGAGCUGUGGAUAGGGGUGAAAGGCUAAACAAAUCUGGAAAUAGCUGGUUCUCCCCGAAAACUAUUUAGGUAGUGCCUCGAGUCUCACUACAGGGGGUAGAGCACUGUUAUGGCUAGGGGGUCAUCGCGACUUACCAAACCAUGGCAAACUCCGAAUACCUGUAAGUGCAAUCUCGGGAGACAGACAUCGGGUGCUAACGUCCGGUGUCAAGAGGGAAACAACCCAGACCGCCAGCUAAGGUCCCUAAUAUCUGCUAAGUGGAAAACGAAGUGGGAAGGCUAAAACAGUCAGGAGGUUGGCUUAGAAGCAGCCACCCUUUAAAGAAAGCGUAAUAGCUCACUGAUCGAGUCGUCCUGCGCGGAAGAUGUAACGGGGCUAAGCAGAUAACCGAAGCUGCGGAUGUACACGUAAGUGUAUGUGGUAGGGGAGCGUUCUGUAAGCCUGCGAAGGUGUGUUGUAAAGCAUGCUGGAGGUAUCAGAAGUGCGAAUGCUGACAUGAGUAGCGAUAAACAGAGUGAAAGGCUCUGUCGCCGUAAGCCCAAGGUUUCCUACGCAACGUUCAUCGGCGUAGGGUUAGUCGGCCCCUAAGGCGAGGCAGAAAUGCGUAGUCGAUGGGAAGCAGGUUAAUAUUCCUGCACCGACGUGUAAUGCGAUGGGGGGACGGAUCGUGGAAAGUGGUCCAGGUGUUGGAUAUCCUGGUCCCUGCAUCAUAGAGGACAGUUAGGCAAAUCCGGCUGUCAUAUACUCAAGGGUGUGGGGGGAAGUAGCUACGGCUACGAACCCAUUGGAAGUGGUCCCAAGAAAAGCCUCUAAGCUUCAGUUACACGUUGACCGUACCGCAAACCGACACAGGUGGGCGGGAUGAGUAUUCUAAGGCGCUUGAGAGAACUCAGGAGAAGGAACUCGGCAAAUUGGUACCGUAACUUCGGGAGAAGGUACGCCCUUGUAGCUUGACCAUGAACAAUGGAAGGGUGAAGGGGUUGCAAUAAAAUGGUGGCUGCGACUGUUUAAUAAAAACACAGCUCUCUGCAAACACGAAAGUGGACGUAUAGGGAGUGACGCCUGCCCGGUGCUGGAAGAUUAAAUGAUGGGGUGCAAGCUCUUGACUGAAGUCCCAGUAAACGGCGGCCGUAACUAUAACGGUCCUAAGGUAGCGAAAUUCCUUGUCGGGUAAGUUCCGACCUGCACGAAUGGCGUAACGAUGGCCACACUGUCU